CCGACAUUCGAGAUUCCACCGGACAGUAGGAAUUCCGAUACCGGAGUCUAGCCGGGUAUUACAUAUAUGAUAUAUAAAAUAUAUUAUUAGAACUAUAUAUUAGAAUUAUAAUAUCACUAUCGGUUCUUUGGUACUAUUCCAGUUCGAUUUUGGUACUAUUUUUGAUAAAAAAAUCAGAAUCAGAAUUAAAACUAAAUAGUUAAAUAAAUUCAGUUUGGUACGGUUAUGAUGUCUAAGAUCCGAGAAUGGAUUUAAACUCAGGAGAGUUUUUG
RNAcentral lists this long non-coding RNA (272 nucleotides) under Manihot esculenta (cassava). RNAcentral describes it as "long non-coding RNA (MESC_LNC002993)". Lineage: Eukaryota; Viridiplantae; Streptophyta; Magnoliopsida; Malpighiales; Euphorbiaceae. The record is from RNAcentral.